CCUUCUAACCCACAUUCAAGCCCCCCGCGUACGAAUGAGGCAAUCAUGUUUUCCAAACUUUUUCUUUUAAGAAAAGGAGAAAAUGAUGUCGUUUUUCUCUCUUGGUUCUUAAAACCAUAGUCAUGUUGCUAAACUUACCGUUUUAACAAAGGUUUUAUUUUCCUUUCACCCAAACUCCAGUUUCCCGAGUCUCACAUCUCCCUCUUUGUAAUUAUCGUUGCCCUCAAGCGGUUCGUCCUCUCCAUGUUGCGCCUUCACGCCGGUCUAGCCUACUGGUUUUCUGUUUGCACCUCGCCACGCCAUGCCACGCCGAUAGGCUCCCUUUCCACCCAUAUCUCCAUCUUUCUCUCUUCGUCUACGUCGCACCCCACCUUGGUAAGUCCUCUCCAUCUCUCUUGAUUUUGUGUCUCGCUCUGUAAGACCCAAGCCCGCUGCACAAGCCCAGGCCCAGCCCAGUUCCAUGCUAAACCCAUCACACGGUGUCGUUUGUUGAAGACUUUCCCUCUCAUCUACUCUCUCGCUUCACUUCUCGCACUCUUUGAUUUUUUCUGGUGGAAUUAGUGCUGAAAUUUCUGGUGAUUUUCUUGCAUGGGUUGCUGAACUGAUCAAGCUUCCCCGACGUGCGAAAGCUAUACACGCUCGCUCACAUGAAUCCCCUGCACCAAUGUCUACCGAAGGAGCAUGGGACUAUGAAUGGUAAACCAGACAAAGGCUUGCAGGAUCAUUUCCAGGAUCAGCCAAACAGCAGUCUAUCACUAGUAUUUCAGAAGAUAUUUUUAUACAAAAUAUGUUGGGUAAUGCCUAGAUAUAAGCAUAGUAUAUACGCUUGCGUGG
Carya illinoinensis is the source of this 834-nucleotide long non-coding RNA. RefSeq lists it as uncharacterized. The record is from RefSeq and is a predicted model, not a curated record. The transcript is spliced from 4 exons. NCBI's taxonomy places the organism in Eukaryota, Viridiplantae, Streptophyta, Magnoliopsida, Fagales, Juglandaceae.